RNAcentral lists this non-coding RNA (98 nucleotides) under Tiarina fusus. The record is from RNAcentral. Lineage: Eukaryota; Ciliophora; Prostomatea; Prorodontida; Colepidae.
AAGAAAAAGAAAAGGCUAGGAAAACGCCGGAAAACACAAAACUUUGUUUUUUGGGGAAUUUCUAUCUUUUUUUUUCUCUUUUUUUUUUUUUUUUUUUU